CCCUUAGAUGUCCUGGGCUGCACGCGCGCUACACUGGAAGUUACGGAUUGAGAUACUACCUUGUCCGAAAUGGUCCGGGUAAUCACCUAAAAGCUUGUCAUAAUUGGAAUGGAUUAUUGUAACUAGUAAUCCUGAACGAGGAAUUCCUAGUAAGUCCCAGUCAACAGCUGGUACUGAUUACGUCUCUGCCCUUUGUACACACCGCCCGUCGCUACUACUGAUUGGACGUUUAAGCAAGAUUUUUAAACACUGACAGUGUGUAGUUCACGCUAUACUACAGUGAGAAGAAGAAGAUCGAGCUUACUUGUCUAGAGGAAGUAAAAGUCGUAACA
This 332-nucleotide ribosomal RNA is filed under the name uncultured eukaryote. RNAcentral describes it as "partial 18S ribosomal RNA". It matches the Rfam family "Eukaryotic small subunit ribosomal RNA", at positions 1470 to 1796 of the family's 1831-position model. The record is from RNAcentral.